AUAAGGUUCAAUCCGUUUUGCUGGUUGGCUUCAAAUUUAGCUCCUCAGAAGCCCUAACUUAUCUAUUCUUUUUAUCAUGGCCUUGGCAUCCAUUCAGUACUGUAAUCCAUGCAUCUAAUCUUUUUUUCUCCCCUCUCAGGUUCUGCUGGAGGAUCACAUUGUGAAAACUACAGCCAUGAAAGGCCCUCCAUUUAUUGCACCCUUCAAAAACGAAAUAUUAGCAUGGGAGGCUAAGCUGCGCGACUAAUGCAGGAGAUUAUGGAAACCUGGCUGCAAGUUCAAAAGGCCCUGGUGAUGCCGGGAACCCAUGUUUUGCUCACAGGAUACAUGUAACCAAAUAUUGGUAGAAGGAAAGCACUUUGAAGUUGUCAGUAGGAACUGGAGGUUAAUAAUGAAGGAGUCAGUGAAGGAGGCCAAUGGCAUGAGGGUUAUCUCACAGCCCCAGAUGCUGGAUAAGUUGAAGGAGGCAAAAUCGCUUUUGGAUGACAUUCAGAAAGGCCUGAAUGAUUAUUUGGAGAAGAAAAGACUAUUCUUUCUAAGGUAAACAGUCCAUUUCAUCUGUUGGCUGUGGGCACUGGUAUAAAAUGUGUUUAUAUAAAUAUCUAUAAAGUUCGUUUUUUAUCACCUUUAGGUUUUUUCUUUCUGUGCAACGAUGAGCUCUUAGAAAUCCUUUCUGAGACAAAGGAUCCACUCCGAGACCAGCCACACCUAAAGAAAUGCUUUGAAGGAAUUGCCAAGCUCACUUUUAAUCAUGAGAAAGAAAUUACUCACAUGGAGUCAGCAGAAAAUGAAAAAGUAGAGCUCGUGCUGUGAAUAAUUCCAGCAAGUGCCAAGGGGCUAGUUGAGAAAUGGCUUCAUGAGGUGAAUAUCUUUAGCUCUUACUUAGGGGUUAGUUACUGUAUAAUCAUUUUCUCUUUUAGGAGCAAGGAAUAUCAUAAGCAUAUUUCCUAAGUAAAUAGCUCUGAUAAUUUAUCAGAUUAUUUGACAGAUUGAAUAUCAGCCUUAUUGUUGUUAUUUAUUACAACUAAUUGACAUGUGCAAACAUGCAAAAAUUAAUUUUAAUAAAGAGGUUAUCAGUGUGUGAGACA
Molecule: long non-coding RNA, 1088 nt
Filed under: Gopherus agassizii (Agassiz's desert tortoise)
Lineage: Eukaryota; Metazoa; Chordata; Testudines; Testudinidae
Description: lncRNA (ENSGAGG00000009566.1)
Rfam family: Rhabdomyosarcoma 2 associated transcript conserved region 9 (bases 670-862)
Source: RNAcentral